RNAcentral lists this ribosomal RNA (102 nucleotides) under Canis lupus dingo (dingo). The record is from RNAcentral. Lineage: Eukaryota; Metazoa; Chordata; Mammalia; Carnivora; Canidae.
GUCUAUGGCCAUGCUACCCUGAACAUGCCCUAUCUCACCCAACCUCGGAAGCUAAGCAAGGUCAGGCCUGGCUACUACUUGGAGGGGAGAAGUGACUAGCCC